UACAGAGACUGCGAGCGUUAUUCGGAUUCACUGGGCGUAAAGGGUGCGCAGGUGGCCAAGUAUGUUAGGCGUGAAAGCCCGGGGCUUAACCCCGGAAUUGCACCUAAAACUACUUGGCUAGAGCAUUGGAGAGGGGAGCAGAAUUCAUGGUGUAGCAGUGAAAUGCGUAGAUAUCAUGAGGAAUACCAGAGGCGAAGGCGGCUCCCUGGACAAUUGCUGACACUCAGGCACGAAAGCGUGGGGAGCAAAAGGG
RNAcentral lists this ribosomal RNA (253 nucleotides) under uncultured bacterium. Its description in RNAcentral is "partial 16S ribosomal RNA". It matches the Rfam family "Bacterial small subunit ribosomal RNA", at positions 524 to 776 of the family's 1533-position model. The record is from RNAcentral.